CCGUCGUGGGCGUAGGAAAUUUGAGAGGAGCUGUCCUUAGUACGAGAGGACCGGGAUGGACGCACCGCUGGUGUACCAGUUGUUCUGCCAAGGGCAUAGCUGGGUAGCUAUGUGCGGAAGGGAUAAGUGCUGAAAGCAUCUAAGCAUGAAGCCCCCCUCAAGAUGAGAUUUCCCAUAGCGUAAGCUAGUAAGAUCCCUGAAAGAUGAUCAGGUUGAUAGGUUCGAGGUGGAAGCAUGGUGACAUGUGGAGCUGACGAAUACUAAUAGAUCGAGGACUUAACCAUAUAA
Molecule: ribosomal RNA, 288 nt
Filed under: Bacillus thuringiensis
Lineage: Bacteria; Bacillati; Bacillota; Bacilli; Caryophanales; Bacillaceae
Description: partial 23S ribosomal RNA
Rfam family: Bacterial large subunit ribosomal RNA
Source: RNAcentral